This 73-nucleotide transfer RNA is filed under the name Tupaia belangeri chinensis (Chinese tree shrew). RNAcentral's name for it is "Tupaia chinensis (Chinese tree shrew) tRNA". It matches the Rfam family "tRNA". From Rfam's summary of the family: Transfer RNA (tRNA) molecules are approximately 80 nucleotides in length. Their secondary structure includes four short double-helical elements and three loops (D, anti-codon, and T loops). Further hydrogen bonds mediate the characteristic L-shaped molecular structure. tRNAs have two regions of fundamental functional importance: the anti-codon, which is responsible for specific mRNA codon recognition, and the 3' end, to which the tRNAs corresponding amino acid is attached (by aminoacyl-tRNA synthetases). tRNAs cope with the degeneracy of the genetic code in two manners: having more than one tRNA (with a specific anti-codon) for a particular amino acid; and 'wobble' base-pairing, i.e. permitting non-standard base-pairing at the 3rd anti-codon position. The record is from Rfam by way of RNAcentral. Lineage: Eukaryota; Metazoa; Chordata; Mammalia; Scandentia; Tupaiidae.
GCCCCAGCAGCCUAAUGGAUAAGGCAUCAGCCUCCUAAGCCAGGGAUUGUGGAUUCAAGUCCCACCCAGGGUA